AUGUUUACGGAGCCCUACUACCUUCCAGAAUAUGGGCCUGACUGACACAGGCGAGACCUGUACUGUCACGGAGCCUACAGUCUGGUCUGGGAGACACCAACACAGACUGGCCCUGAGCUAACAUCCGUGCCCAUCUUCCUCUACUUUAUAUGUGGGACACCUACCACAGCAUGGCGUGCCAAGUGGUGCCAUGUCCGCACCCGGGAUCCGAACCGGCGAACCCCAGGCAGCUGAGAAGCAGAAUGUACGCACUUAACCGCCGUGCCCCUGGGCUGGCCCCUGUAACGUUGCCUUCUUGAUUCAUUUAAAAGGAUUUUGGCCGUCAUUAGCUGCAUCAGCUUUUCUGUCCUCACUGUGUUCUGGGAGCCCAGCUCUCUGGAGGGUGAGGGGACCUGAGCCAUCCUCCACUUCUGGGCUGGGCCCUGCCCUGACCACCUCCCGCUGUGCUGCAGACCCACCUACUGGACGGAGGCACAGCGAAGCCUCUGCAGAGGGUGAAGAGAUGGUCUCUCCGGGUGUUUGAAGUAAGAGUGCUGGACCCUGUGAGCCGCUGUGCAAACAAAGGCCCGCGGAGAAGAGGGGAAGAGGCCGAUGAUUUGUUGGUCUGACUUCACCUAUUUGAAAAAUGCUUUCCGUGUUUCAAAUGGCACUCUCGAGCUUUUCCUGUCCUCUUUACAGCACCCAGGACACUCACAGAACUGCAAAUAUUCUCGCCUAUUCUUGCCCCAGAGAGCUGGGGAAGUGGUGUAUAGGUGGCCGCACAAACAGACGAAGAAAAUGAAUUGUUUGCAAAAAAUGUGUGGACAGGUAUGAAGAUAUUUAUGCAGAGAUUUAUAAGUUCUUAUAAAUGCCACUUUUAGAAUAUUUAUCUUAAUCCUGAGCUAUUUCCUUUUAUGGAAAAUAAUUCUUAAUAAGGAUUCCAUCUUCCUUAGCAAAACUUUUGAUUCAAGUAUUUCUUCAGAUCUUGCACAGGAAGAAGUUUCUUACUUAGGACGGCUGG
RNAcentral lists this long non-coding RNA (1000 nucleotides) under Equus asinus (donkey). RNAcentral's name for it is "lncRNA (ENSEASG00005029279.1)". The record is from RNAcentral. Lineage: Eukaryota; Metazoa; Chordata; Mammalia; Perissodactyla; Equidae.